RNAcentral lists this ribosomal RNA (797 nucleotides) under uncultured beta proteobacterium. RNAcentral's name for it is "bacterial SSU rRNA". It matches the Rfam family "Bacterial small subunit ribosomal RNA", at positions 8 to 819 of the family's 1533-position model. Lineage: Bacteria; Pseudomonadati; Pseudomonadota; Betaproteobacteria. The record is from RNAcentral.
AGAGUUUGAUCAUGGCUCAGAUUGAACGCUGGCGGCAUGCUUUACACAUGCAAGUCGAACGGCAGCACGGGUGCUUGCACCUGGUGGCGAGUGGCGAACUGGGUGAGUAAUAUAUCGGAACGUAUCCGGAAGUGGGGGAUAGCUCGGCGAAAGCCGGAUUAAUACCGCAUAUGCCCUGAGGGGGAAAGGGGGGGAUCCGCAAGGACCUCUCGCUUUCGGAGCUGGCCGAUAUCAGAUUAGCUAGUUGGCGGGGUAAAGGCCUACCAAGGCGACGAUCUGUAGCGGGUCUGAGAGGAUGAUCCGCCACACUGGGACUGAGACACGGCCCAGACUCCUACGGGAGGCAGCAGUGGGGAAUUUUGGACAAUGGGCGCAAGCCUGAUCCAGCCAUGCCGCGUGAGUGAAGAAGGCCUUCGGGUUGUAAAGCUCUUUCAGAUGGGAAGAAACGGACAUGGUUAAUAACUGUGUCUAAUGACGGUACCGUCAGAAGAAGCACCGGCUAACUACGUGCCAGCAGCCGCGGUAAUACGUAGGGUGCGAGCGUUAAUCGGAAUUACUGGGCCGUAAAGCGUGCGCAGGCGGUUUUGUAAGACAGGUGUGAAAUCCCGGCUUAACCUGGGACUGCAUUUGUGACUGCAAGCUAGAAGUCCGCAGAAAGGGGGUAGAANUCCNCGUGGNACANUGAAAUCGUAAAUNNUGGAGGAAUCCCAAUGCCAAGNAGCCCCUUGGUCGAACUGANCCNUAUCNCAAANCUGGGACAACAGGAUUAAACCUGGAGCCCGCCUAACAUGNACUAG